This 468-nucleotide ribosomal RNA is filed under the name uncultured bacterium. RNAcentral describes it as "partial 16S ribosomal RNA". It matches the Rfam family "Bacterial small subunit ribosomal RNA", at positions 28 to 507 of the family's 1533-position model. The record is from RNAcentral.
GACGAACGCUGGCGGCGUGCUUAACACAUGCAAGUCGAACGGAAAGGCCCUGCUUUUGUGGGGUGCUCGAGUGGCGAACGGGUGAGUAACACGUGAGUAACCUGCCCUUGACUUUGGGAUAACUUCAGGAAACUGGGGCUAAUACCGGAUAGGAGCUCCUGCUGCAUGGUGGGGGUUGGAAAGUUUCGGCGGUUGGGGAUGGACUCGCGGCUUAUCAGCUUGUUGGUGGGGUAGUGGCUUACCAAGGCUUUGACGGGUAGCCGGCCUGAGAGGGUGACCGGCCACAUUGGGACUGAGAUACGGCCCAGAAUGCUACGGGAGGCAGCAGUGGGGAAUAUUGCACAAUGGGCGGAAGCCUGAUGAAGAAACGCCGCGUGCGGGAUGACGGCCUUCGGGUUGUAAACCGAUUUCGCCUGUGACGAAGAGUGAGUGACGGUAAUGGGUAAAGAAGCACCGGCUAACUACGUG